Molecule: ribosomal RNA, 472 nt
Filed under: uncultured bacterium
Lineage: Bacteria
Description: bacterial SSU rRNA
Rfam family: Bacterial small subunit ribosomal RNA
Source: RNAcentral
CUCUGUGACUCCUACGGGAGGCAGCAGUGGGGAAUAUUGCACAAUGGGCGCAAGCCUGAUGCAGCCAUGCCGCGUGUAUGAAGAAGGCCUUCGGGUUGUAAAGUACUUUCAGCAGUGAGGAAGGCGGAGUCGUUAAUAGCGGCCUCGUUUGACGUUACCUACAGAAGAAGCACCGGCUAACUCCGUGCCAGCAGCCGCGGUAAUACGGAGGGUGCGAGCGUUAAUCGGAAUUACUGGGCGUAAAGCGCAUGCAGGCGGCCUGUUAAGUCAGAUGUGAAAGCCCGGGGCUUAACCUCGGAAUUGCAUUUGAAACUGGCAGGCUAGAGUCUUGUAGAGGGGGUAGAAUUUCAGGUGUAGCGGUGAAAUGCGUAGAGAUCUGAAGGAAUACCAGUGGCGAAGGCGGCCCCCUGGACAAAGACUGACGCUCGGAUGCGAAAGCGUGGGGAGCAAACAGGAUUAGAUACCCUGGUAG